RNAcentral lists this ribosomal RNA (497 nucleotides) under uncultured bacterium. Its description in RNAcentral is "partial 16S ribosomal RNA". It matches the Rfam family "Bacterial small subunit ribosomal RNA", at positions 28 to 507 of the family's 1533-position model. The record is from RNAcentral.
GAUGAACGCUGGCGGCGUGCCUAAUACAUGCCAGUCGAGCGAACAGACGAGGAGCUUGCUCCUCUGACGUUAGCGGCGGACGGGUGAGUAACACGUGGAUAACCUCCCUAUAAGACUGGGAUAACUUCGGGAAACCGGAGCUAAUACCGGAUAAUAUCUUGCACCGCAUGGUUCAAUAGUGAAAGACGGUUUUGCUGUCACUUAUCGAUGGAUCCCGGCCGCAUUAGCUAGUUGGUAAGGUAACGGCUUACCAAGGCAACGAUGCGUAGCCGACCUGAGAGGGUGAUCGGCCACACUGGAACUGAGACACGGUCCAGACUCCUACGGGAGGCAGCAGUAGGGAAUCUGCCGCAAUGGGCGAAAGCCUGACGGAGCAACGCCGCGUGAGUGAUGAAGGUCUUCGGAUCGUAAAACUCUGUUGUUAGGGAAGAACAAAUGUGUAAGUAACUAUGCACGUCGUGACGGUACCUAAUCAGAAAGCCACGGCUAACUACGUG